ACUUCCACCCCAACGAGACGACGCUGGCCUGGCUCCAGCACACGUACCCCACACUGCCCCCUGCCCAGCGCCCGCUCGAGUGCACCCUGCGCCCCGGGGAGGUCCUGUACUUCCCUGACCGCUGGUGGCACGCGACACUCAACCUGGACACCAGUGUCUUCAUCUCCACCUUCCUUGGGUAGAGCCAGGAAGGACAAGGAUGUGUCACCAUCAUCCUGGACACAGCAGGAAUUCCUGCCACCCUCAGGGAAAGGCAACUGGUUUGGGGACCAACUGCCUGAGAAAGUUCUGGUUUUUACUGGUCUUUUUCCUCCCCCUUGGAUUAAAGUUGUUCUACUGUA
Long non-coding RNA from Manacus vitellinus (golden-collared manakin), 341 nucleotides. RefSeq lists it as uncharacterized. The record is from RefSeq and is a predicted model, not a curated record. The transcript has 2 exons. Lineage: Eukaryota; Metazoa; Chordata; Aves; Passeriformes; Pipridae.